AGUCGAACGAUUGAAGCUGGAGCUUGCUCCGGCCGAUUUAGUGGCGGACGGGUGAGUAACGCGUGGGUAACCUGCCUCAUACAGGGGGAUAGCAGUUGGAAACGACUGGUAAAACCGCAUAAGCACACGGUAUCGCAUGAUACAGUGUGAAAAUACUCCGGUGGUAUGAGAUGGACCCGCGUCUGAUUAGCUAGUUGGUGAGGUAACGGCCCACCAAGGCGACGAUCAGUAGCCGGCCUGAGAGGGUGAACGGCCACAUUGGGACUGAGACACGGCCCAAACUCCUACGGGAGGCAGCAGUGGGGAAUAUUGCACAAUAGGGGAAACCCUGAUGCAGCGACGCCGCGUGAGUGAUGAAGUAUUUCGGUAUGUAAAGCUCUAUCAGCAGGGAAGAUAAUGACGGUACCUGACUAAGAAGCACCGGCUAAAUACGUGCCAGCAGCCGCGGUAAUACGUAUGGUGCAAGCGUUAUCCGGAUUUACUGGGUGUAAAGGGUGCGUAGGUGGCAAGGCAAGUCUGAAGUGAAAAUCCGGGGCUCAACCCCGGAACUGCUUUGGAAACUGUUUAGCUGGAGUACAGGAGAGGUAAGUGGAAUUCCUAGUGUAGCGGUGAAAUGCGUAGAUAUUAGGAGGAACACCAGUGGCGAAGGCGACUUACUGGACUGCUACUGACACUGAGGCACGAAAGCGUGGGGAGCAAACAGGAUUAGAUACCC
Molecule: ribosomal RNA, 715 nt
Filed under: uncultured bacterium
Lineage: Bacteria
Description: bacterial SSU rRNA
Rfam family: Bacterial small subunit ribosomal RNA
Source: RNAcentral